This is a long non-coding RNA of Solanum tuberosum (potato), 1920 nucleotides long. RefSeq lists it as uncharacterized. The record is from RefSeq and is a predicted model, not a curated record. The transcript has 3 exons. NCBI's taxonomy places the organism in Eukaryota, Viridiplantae, Streptophyta, Magnoliopsida, Solanales, Solanaceae.
AUUUCAUUCUUUAGGGCUUUUGAUGCAUUGUGUCCUGUGUUUAUGAGUAUUUGUAAAUUUUCUUUCAUUACUUACAUGUUGUUACUUGAUAGUUUAUGUGGUCGGUACAAUCUCCAUACCAUGGCAUUCGCCACUUUCUUGCAUUCUUGAAUUCAGAAAACUGAAUCUGGGGAAUGUUGCUCUCUUAUUCUUCCUUUUUCUUGGUUCCCCUUUAAUUUACCCUUUUCCAAAUCCAUUAUAUAUCUGUUUCUAUAUAUUGUAAUCCCAAGAGAACGUUCUUGGUAUUAAUUAGUACACAUAGUCUACAUUACUACAUAAGCAUAUGAAUCAAUUUAGUUGAAAUCAGGUUCAACAAUCCAUGUAACGCGGAUCCAAGAAAAGUGGCAUGACGUAGAUUAACACUACUAUAAGAAAAGAAAAGAAAAGAAAAGAAAAAAAGAUUGAUACCAAGAAUUUGUUUUCAUACACUCUUAACAACAUUUUCCAACUUUCUUGCAUAUUCUUCAAAACUUAAUUUUGUUUCUAGCUUGAUUUUGGUGCAUUACUAUGUCUCAGCAGAAAGACCACAUAGGCUAUUGCAUGGGAAAUAGGGAAUGACCUACACACACUCUUUGAAUAUGUUUUUCCCAAUGAUUUCUUUGCCAAAUGGAUUAAUUGUAGCAUUCUUUCUCGCCUGUGGUCAAGGUGAGGAUUGACAUUUAUAGAUGCUACACUUACUACUGCCAAUUUCAUGAAAGAAGAGAUAUCAUAUUUACUUUUCUAGAGAAGCAAGGCGGCUUUGGAAUUGGUCGAAAAGCUAAAUCUGCUCCUUGUGGAAGUAGCUAUGCUUCUUGAGUUGUACGCUUCUAAAAAAAUGUUAGUAAUAACUGCAGUACAUCAGUGGGAUUUCUUAUGGUGGGUAGUGUUAUUGCUUACAAUUUCUAGAACCGAUCUUGUGCCAGGUAUUCAUGCUUGUAGUUGUCUUUAAUUAGUGAUUAGAAAAUCAAUUCAAUCUGCUUUCCUAACUGCAGUACCAUUAGACUUUAGUGCAGCAACAAAUGCUACAUCUGGUCAAACACAAAACGUAUCUUUGGGCUCCUCCACUUUACCUUGGAAAGAAAUAUGACUUUAUUAGUGUGGCCAAUGAACGUCUAGUGUGGUCCAGGGAUGUCAAUGUCUCAGAUUCCUCCAUACUUGGAUAUCCAAGAGCUCCUGCAUUUGUUGUUUCAAGCAACUCACACUUUGGCACCCCAAGACUUGAUUCAUACUCCUUUGGCCAACCAGAAGAAUCCAUGUUAGGGUGCAAAGGUUAACUUUAUUGUCCAUUUUCUCAUGUAUUGGAGCAGAUUAAUCAACGUUUUGAGGGAGAAUUUUUCUCUGUAAUCUAUAUGCUCUAUAUUGAUCUGAAAGCUUUUACUAAAUACCACUAGGAAAAGAAAGUACAGACCACCCUUUCUCAAGAGCUCUGGUUUUGGAAAGUCAGCAUUUGGCAUUAAUCAGAAAGGAAGUAGAAUAACAUCAUAUAUUGCAACUCUAGAGAACGAUAUCACAGGACCCGGUGGUGGAAAAAUUCAAUCCAUUUGUGGAAUAUAAUGCAGACUUAUAAAGAUAAAAGCCAGGAGGAGUUGAGGUUUAAGGACUACCAGUUAGGUGAUAAAGUUACCCAAGAGAUUAUGAGGAAAAGAGACAGAAGAUGUGUUAUUUGCAACAGAUGCAAAGGAAGGAAACAUAGAUUCAGUUACUUGACGAAAAAGAAAAGAGCAAUGAAGUGGAACAAACAAAAACAUGGAGGAGUUACGGAUAAAUUGUUGGAUUUUUCCUUAUGAUUGUAGUCUUUAUUGACAUAAUGGUAAGGUUACUUAAAUAGAGUAGUAGGUACCGGUGCUUUGAUUUGUCCUCAUAUUCUCUUAACUUUGAAAUGCUUUUUACGAUUCCUUUCUA